GACGAACGCUGGCGGCGUGCUUAACACAUGCAAGUGGAGCGACGAACUUGGCUUCGGCCAAGGGCAAAGCCGCGAACGGGUGAGUAACACGUGGGUUACCUGCCCCGAUGACCGGGACAACCCGUCGAAAGACGGGCUAAUACCGGAUGUGACCGCAAGGUGAAAGGAAGCUUCGGCCUCCGCAUCGGGAUGGGCCCGCGGCGCAUUAGCUUGUUGGUGGGGUAACGGCCUACCAAGGCGACGAUGCGUAGCUGGUCUGAGAGGACGAUCAGCCACACUGGCACUGAGACACGGGCCAGACUCCUACGGGAGGCAGCAGUGAGGGAUAUUGCGCAAUGGGGGAAACCCUGACGCAGCAACGCCGCGUGGGCGAAGAAGGUCUUCGGAUCGUAAAGCCCUUUUCUCCCGGACGAGGAAGGACGGUACGGGAGGAAUAAGUGUCGGCUAACUACGUG
Molecule: ribosomal RNA, 455 nt
Filed under: uncultured bacterium
Lineage: Bacteria
Description: bacterial SSU rRNA
Rfam family: Bacterial small subunit ribosomal RNA
Source: RNAcentral